Molecule: non-coding RNA, 931 nt
Organism: Xyrichtys novacula (pearly razorfish)
Lineage: Eukaryota; Metazoa; Chordata; Actinopteri; Labriformes; Labridae
Source: the annotation of a GenBank genome assembly
UCCUCCCAAGCCCGGCCAACCUACACACCUGGGGACUAGUAGACACUCCUGAGUGCAAACUGUGCCAGAAGAGGGGCACCCUGGAGCACAUCUUAAGCUGCUGCCCUAAAGCGCUAGGAGAGGGGCGGUACCGCUGGCGCCAUGACCAAGUCCUAAAAGCUUUGGCAGAAACCAUCAGCACAGCGAUCCAGCACAGCAAGACCCAGGCAGCCCCCAAACAGGCAAUCACAUUCAUUAGAGCAGGGCAGAAGGCACAACAUCACCAUCCCAACUCUACAGGGGGGCUCCUUACCACCGCUCGUGAUUGGCAGCUUCAAGUCGACCUCGGAAGACAGCUUAAGUUCCCAGUCAACAUCACAACUACUUCUCUCCGCCCAGAUGUGGUACUAACAUCGGAGUCCACCAAACAAGUAGUCAUCCUGGAACUAACAGUCCCCUGGGAAGACAGGAUCGAAGAGGCCCACGAACGCAAGAGAGCCAAGUAUGCAGAGCUCAGCACAGAGUGCCGGAACAAUGGCUGGAAAACCCGCUGUGAGCCAGUCGAGGUCGGGAGCCGAGGCUUCGCUGGCCAAUCACUUCUGAGAACCCUCAAACUCCUUGGAGUAAAAGGACUGCGAUUGAAGAAAGCCAUCAGAAACAUCCUAGAGGCCGCAGAAAGGGCCUCGCGGUGGCUGUGGAUCCGUAGGGGGGAUCCGUGGAACAUCACGCCACUUGGACACAAGUCGGGGACUGAUCACCCCCGGCUGGGUCGCCCGGGUGAGGGUGUAUGAAGAUUAAAGACCCGAAACACCCUAUGACCCCGGGUACUUCACUGAUGACGUGUCCAAGUAGCACCAGCAGGUGUAUCCAAAUUCCAUGAUUGUAGGACAGCCAUAAUCAUAAUCAAAACAAAAAUCGGAUGAAUCUCCCUGCCCUUGGUGAGAGGCACCCC